RNAcentral lists this ribosomal RNA (254 nucleotides) under uncultured bacterium. Its description in RNAcentral is "partial 16S ribosomal RNA". It matches the Rfam family "Bacterial small subunit ribosomal RNA", at positions 524 to 776 of the family's 1533-position model. The record is from RNAcentral.
UACGUAGGGGGCGAGCGUUACCCGGAUUUACUGGGCGUAAAGCGCGUGUAGGCGGCUGGUCAAGCGUGGUGUGAAAUCUCCGGGCUCAACCCGGAAACUGCAUUGCGAACUGACCUAGCUGGAGUGCAGGAGAGGGCAGCGGAAUUCCCGGUGUAGCGGUGAAAUGCGUAGAUAUCGAGAGGAACACCUGCGGCGAAGGCGGGUUGCUGGGCCGACACUGACGCUGAUGCGCGAAAGCCAGGGGAGCGAACGGG